This is a long non-coding RNA of Homo sapiens (human), 1193 nucleotides long. Ensembl annotates it as NR2F1 antisense RNA 1. Its record names the gene NR2F1-AS1. The record is from Ensembl. NCBI's taxonomy places the organism in Eukaryota, Metazoa, Chordata, Mammalia, Primates, Hominidae.
GGCCGGGACCACAGGAGCCCCAGCCCCACACAGCAACCACCCGGGCGAGAAAGAAAGAAAGAGCCAGGGAGGCGGGCGAAGCGCGGGGAGAGAAGCAGAGAAGAAAUAUUCACCUUCCCGCCUCAUGCCCACUUUGAGGCACUUCUUGAGGCGGCAGUAUUGGCACUGGUUGCGGUGGUGCUGGUCGAUGGGACAGUUCCUGUUGGCACGGCAUGUCAGGUAGAUGAAACUCAAGAGAAAAGGUGUGGAUAAAUGAAACUAGCCCAUGAUGAACCUGUUUUCUCCGUGACCACAAUAUUAACCAGGAUGAAUGGCGGUGGCAGUGGGCCUGCAUCACAGGUUGCAGCAGAUGUUCUCAAUAUUUCUAUUAAAAUUUCCUUAUUUCCAUAUGCAAGAGGAGCCCCAGAGCUGCAUCCUUAUGGUAGCUACCAUGCCGUGAUGUAAGCUGCCAUUCACUGGGGAGCUUUGGCAAUAGAAUUGGCUAGAUCAGGAAGCCUAUGUCAACUAUGGAACAACAACUUGCAGCUCAUCUCUAUUGAUGAUGGAAUCUCGCUAUGUCACCAGGCUGGAGUGCAGUGGCGCAACCUCGGCUCAGCGCAACAUCCGCCUCCCGGGUUCAAGUGAUUCUCCUACCUCAGCCUCCUGAGUAGCUGGGAUUACAGGUGAAACAGUCGCAAAUGGAAUUCCAAGAAACAUUCUAUAUACACUGCCUCUAGGACUGGGACAGAUAGCCACUGAGUACCUGCUUCAAAUCACCCUGCACGUUUUCUCUUUGGAAAGAUAAGCACUGGAGAACCAUCUCGUUACCUUCAGCAGAAAUGGAAACAAAUCAAGACAUUAAGAAUGCCGCAGUGGACAGCAGUUAUGCAAGGUUCAGCAGAGGAAGUUUUCAAGAUGGUGUGCCUCACUAGCCAGAAAUCAGAAAAGAUCGAAGCUAGCCUUUUCAUCUCAGCUGCUCCUUAAAUCAGUGCAACCCCUCCAAAUUAAUGUGAAUUGAAACUUGCAUUGCUUUUCAACUUAAUUGAAUACUUACUAUAUGUGAACCACUGCACAAAAUAGGGGAAGAAGAUGUGGGAGACAAAGAUGUGGAGCCUGUCUUCAAUAAAUUUACAGUUAGUUUCAGGGUACAUUGUUUUUCUUCUGCUGUUAAUUAGGUGUAUCCCCAAGACAAUAAAUACAUGAAUGGAAAAGUA